GUUCACUGCCGUACAGGCAGCUUAGAAA
Serratia fonticola is the source of this 28-nucleotide non-coding RNA. Lineage: Bacteria; Pseudomonadati; Pseudomonadota; Gammaproteobacteria; Enterobacterales; Yersiniaceae. The record is from Rfam.